RNAcentral lists this ribosomal RNA (442 nucleotides) under uncultured bacterium. Its description in RNAcentral is "partial 16S ribosomal RNA". It matches the Rfam family "Bacterial small subunit ribosomal RNA", at positions 338 to 795 of the family's 1533-position model. The record is from RNAcentral.
CCUACGGGAGGCAGCAGUAGGGAAUCUUUCACAAUGGGCGAAAGCCUGAUGGAGCAACGCCGCGUGCAGGAUGAAGGCCUUCGGGUUGUAAACUGCUUUUAUAAGCGAGAAAUAUGAUGGUAACUUAUGAAUAAGGAUCGGCUAACUACGUGCCAGCAGCCGCGGUCAUACGUAGGAUCCGAGCAUUAUCCGGAGUGACUGGGUGUAAAGAGUUGCGUAGGUGGCAUAAUAAGUAGCUAGUGAAAUCUGGUGGCUCAACCAUUCAGACUAUUAGCGAAACUGUUAAGCUCGAGACCGUUAGGGGUAACUGGAAUGUCUAGUGUAGGAGUGAAAUCCGUAGAUAUUAGAAGGAACACCAAUAGCGUAGGCAGGUUGCUGGGACGGUUCUGACUCUAAGGCACGAAAGCGUAGGGAGCAAACGGGAUUAGAUACCCUAGUAGUC